AUUGAACGCUGGCGGCAGGCUUAACACAUGCAAGUCGAGCGGGGUGAUGGUGCUUGCACUAUCACUUAGCGGCGGACGGGUGAGUAAUGCUUAGGAAUCUGCCUAUUAGUGGGGGACAACAUCUCGAAAGGGAUGCUAAUACCGCAUACGUCCUACGGGAGAAAGCAGGGGAUCACUUGUGACCUUGCGCUAAUAGAUGAGCCUAAGUCGGAUUAGCUAGUUGGUGGGGUAAAGGCCUACCAAGGCGACGAUCUGUAGCGGGUCUGAGAGGAUGAUCCGCCACACUGGGACUCAGACACGGCCCAGACUCCUACGGGAGGCAGCAGUGGGGAAUAUUGGACAAUGGGGGGAACCCUGAUCCAACCAUGCCGCGUGUGUGAAGAAGGCCUUAUGGUUGUAAAGCACUUUAAGCGAGGAGGAGGCUCUUUUGGUUAAUACCCAGAAUGAGUGGACGUUACUCGCAGAAUAAGCACCGGCUAACUCUGUGCCAGCCGCCGCCGUAA
Molecule: ribosomal RNA, 503 nt
Filed under: uncultured bacterium
Lineage: Bacteria
Description: partial 16S ribosomal RNA
Rfam family: Bacterial small subunit ribosomal RNA
Source: RNAcentral